RNAcentral lists this ribosomal RNA (1396 nucleotides) under uncultured bacterium. Its description in RNAcentral is "16S ribosomal RNA". It matches the Rfam family "Bacterial small subunit ribosomal RNA". The record is from RNAcentral.
UUUAGUGGCGGACUGGUGAGUAACACGUAAGCAACCUGCCUAUUAGAGGGGAAUAACAGCGAGAAAUCGUUGCUAAUACCGCAUAUGCCAUAAGCAUCACAUGAUGCUAGUGGGAAAGGAGAAAUCCGCUGAUAGAUGGGCUUGCGUCUGAUUAGUUAGUUGGUGGGGUAACGGCCUACCAAGACGACGAUCAGUAGCCGGGCUGAGAGGUUCAACGGCCACAUUGGGACUGAGAUACGGCCCAGACUCCUACGGGAGGCAGCAGUCGGGAAUAUUGCGCAAUGGAGGAAACUCUGACGCAGUGACGCCGCGUAUAGGAAGAAGGUUUUCGGAUUGUAAACUAUUGUCUGCAGGGAAGAUAAAAGACUGUACCUGCAAAGAAAGCUCCGGCUAACUACGUGCCAGCAGCCGCGGUAAUACGUAGGGAGCAAGCGUUAUCCGGAUUUAUUGGGUGUAAAGGGUGCGUAGACGGGAAAUUAAGUUAGUUGUGAAAUCCCUCGGCUCAACUGAGGAACUGCAACUGAAACUGAUUUUCUUGAGUGCAGGAGAGGAAAGUGGAAUUCCUAGUGUAGCGGUGAAAUGCGUAGAUAUUAGGAGGAACACCAGUGGCGAAGGCGACUUUCUGGACUGUAACUGACGUUGAGGCACGAAAGUGCGGGGAGCAAACAGGAUUAGAUACCCUGGUAGUCCACACUGUAAACGAUGGAUACUAGGUGUAGGGGGUAUUAAGCCUUCUGUGCCGUCGCAAACGCAGUAAGUAUCCCACCUGGGGAGUACGACCGCAAGGUUGAAACUCAAAGGAAUUGACGGGGGCCCGCACAAGCAGUGGAGUAUGUGGUUUAAUUCGAAGCAACGCGAAGAACCUUACCAGGGCUUGACAUAUACAGGAAUAUACAAGAGAUUGUAUAGCUCUUCGGAGUCUGUAUACAGGUGGUGCAUGGUUGUCGUCAGCUCGUGUCGUGAGAUGUUGGGUUAAGUCCCGCAACGAGCGCAACCCCUGUUUCUAGUUGCCAGCAUGUAAAGAUGGGAACUCUAGAGAGACUGCCGUUGAUAAAACGGAGGAAGGUGGGGACGACGUCAAAUCAUCAUGCCCUUUAUGUCCUGGGCUACACACGUACUACAAUGGCUAUGACAGAGGGAAGCGAAAGAGUGAUCUGAAGCGAAACUCAAAAAAGUAGUCUCAGUUCGGAUUGUAGGCUGAAAUUCGCCUACAUGAAGCCGGAAUUGCUAGUAAUGGCAGGUCAGCAUACUGCCGUGAAUACGUUCCCGGGCCUUGUACACACCGCCCGUCACACCAUGAGAGUUGGGGAUACCCGAAGCCUGUGAGCUAACUAUUUAUAGAGGCAGCAGUCGAAGGUAGAAUCAAUGAUUGGGGUGAAGUCGUAACAAGGUAUCC